This 253-nucleotide ribosomal RNA is filed under the name uncultured bacterium. RNAcentral describes it as "partial 16S ribosomal RNA". It matches the Rfam family "Bacterial small subunit ribosomal RNA", at positions 524 to 776 of the family's 1533-position model. The record is from RNAcentral.
UACGAAGGAUGCAAGCGUUAUCCGGAUUCACUGGGUUUAAAGGGUGUGCAGGUGGGAUAAUAAGUCAGUGGUGAAAGCCCCCGACUCAAUCGGGGAACUGCCAUAGAUACUGUUAUUCUUGAGUGUGGUUGAGGUGGGCGGAAUAUGACAUGUAGCGGUGAAAUGCGUAGAUAUGUCAUAGAACACCGAUCGCGAAGGCAGCUCGCCAAACCAUUACUGACACUGAAACACGAAAGUGCGGGGAUCAAACAGG